CAGGUAGGCGGCCUGAAAAGUGAGAAGUGAAAUCCACCGGCUCAAUCGGUGAAUUGCUUUUCAAACUUUCGGGCUUGAGUGUGGGAGAGGAGAAUGGAACUCCUGGUGUAGAGGUGAAAUUCGUAGAUAUCAGGAGGAACACCAUUGGCGAAGGCGAUUCUCUGGACCACUAAUGACGCUGAACUGCGAAAGCUAGGGGAGAGAACAGGAUUAGAUACCCUGGUAGUCC
RNAcentral lists this ribosomal RNA (229 nucleotides) under uncultured bacterium. RNAcentral's name for it is "partial 16S ribosomal RNA". It matches the Rfam family "Bacterial small subunit ribosomal RNA", at positions 568 to 796 of the family's 1533-position model. The record is from RNAcentral.